This 456-nucleotide ribosomal RNA is filed under the name uncultured bacterium. Its description in RNAcentral is "bacterial SSU rRNA". It matches the Rfam family "Bacterial small subunit ribosomal RNA", at positions 77 to 527 of the family's 1533-position model. The record is from RNAcentral.
GAACUUGCUUCUCUUGNNACGGCUGACGGGUGAGUAAUGCCUAGGAAUCUGCCUGGUAGUGGGGGAUAACGUUCGGAAACGGACGCUAAUACCGCAUACGUCCUACGGGAGAAAGCAGGGGACCUUCGGGCCUUGCGCUAUCAGAUGAGCCUAGGUCGGAUUAGCUAGUUGGUGGGGUAAUGGCUCACCAAGGCGACGAUCCGUAACUGGUCUGAGAGGAUGAUCAGUCACACUGGAACUGAGACACGGUCCAGACUCCUACGGGAGGCAGCAGUGGGGAAUAUUGGACAAUGGGCGAAAGCCUGAUCCAGCCAUGCCGCGUGUGUGAAGAAGGUCUUCGGAUUGUAAAGCACUUUAAGUUGGGAGGAAGGGCAGUNANNUAAUACUUUGCUGUUUUGACGUUACCGACAGAAUAAGCACCGGCUAACUCUGUGCCAGNGNCCCCGCGGUAAUAAA